This 466-nucleotide ribosomal RNA is filed under the name uncultured bacterium. Its description in RNAcentral is "partial 16S ribosomal RNA". It matches the Rfam family "Bacterial small subunit ribosomal RNA", at positions 28 to 507 of the family's 1533-position model. The record is from RNAcentral.
GAUGAACGCUGGCGGCGUGCUUAACACAUGCGAGUCGAACGGAAAGGCCCAAGCUUGCUUGGGUACUCGAGUGGCGAACGGGUGAGUAACACGUGGGUGAUCUGCCCCGCACUUCGGGAUAAGCCUGGGAAACUGGGUCUAAUACCGGAUAGGACCACUUCUCGGAGGUUGUGGUGGAAAGUUUUUUCGGUGUGGGAUGAGCUCGCGGCCUAUCAGCUUGUUGGUGGGGUAAUGGCCUACCAAGGCGUCGACGGGUAGCCGGCCUGAGAGGGUGUACGGCCACAUUGGGACUGAGAUACGGCCCAGACUCCUACGGGAGGCAGCAGUGGGGAAUAUUGCACAAUGGGCGCAAGCCUGAUGCAGCGACGCCGCGUGGGGGAUGACGGCCUUCGGGUUGUAAACUCCUUUCGCUAGGGACGAAGCGCAAGUGACGGUACCUAGAGAAGAAGCACCGGCUAACUACGUG